Molecule: long non-coding RNA, 543 nt
Organism: Peromyscus eremicus (cactus mouse)
Lineage: Eukaryota; Metazoa; Chordata; Mammalia; Rodentia; Cricetidae
Exons: 3
Source: RefSeq, a predicted model, not a curated record
AGCCUGCCCAUGGCUAGGAGGGGCCCCAGCCUGUUAAAUUCAUGGUAAAGGUCCAAGCUCUGUGAACACUGACCAGGGCCUCCCAGAGAGCUGAGGAGAUGGGGUAGCCUGGCCUCCUGCCUGCUCCCUAAAACUGGGUGGCAGGCCCUGCCCAAGCCUGGGGCCAGCACUAUCUUCUUCCAAAGGACCUUCAGUCUGUUUGCAAGGACCACAUUCCAUGGCUCACGUGCUGCUCAUAGGUGGAGAAAGGCCUGGAGUGUUCUCCCUAGGAAACAGAGUAACACCUGUGGUAGAUUUUAAAGCCGUUGAGUCUCCAGGGCUUCCUGGCAGACUGCUGGUCAGUGUCCUCAUCCAGGACUCAUGGCCACAUUCCAUGUCCAGAACACUUUGUGGAUGCUCUGGAGGAGCACAGUUGACAAAGCCUGCCACUUCAAGCCUACGUUACGAGCCACGUUGACCCCGAAGGAUGUUUAAAGGUCAUCAGAGCAUCCAGUCCCUGCCCAGUGCACCUCAGAAAUUCCACAGCAACCAAAUCCAGGGAGG